Long non-coding RNA from Gasterosteus aculeatus aculeatus (three-spined stickleback), 1587 nucleotides. The record is from Ensembl. NCBI's taxonomy places the organism in Eukaryota, Metazoa, Chordata, Actinopteri, Perciformes, Gasterosteidae.
UGAUGUGAAAUGAUACCCACAAGUUUCAGCCUGCGUGAUGGUAUCAGGCUACAAUGUGAACUAUUCCCACUUAAAUUUAAUGUAAUGUAAAGGGGUUUUGAAAAGAGAUAUAUAGACCCCCAUAUUGAGGAGGUUGACUUGUUUUGAGAGGAAACAAAUAGUUGUUUUCAUUUGAAGGGAAAUCAUAAAGGCACCGUCUUUGCACAGUCAAUCCACGUGCAAUCAAAAAUUAGAAUAAAUGAGGGAAUAGAGUUUGAUGUUUGAAUAGAAUAAUCUGAGUUGUAGGCAGAUGUAGUCAAGCCACAAUACCACACUGUAAUCUUUGUAAAACAUUUGACAUUUUUCCAAAAAUGUCUCCAGUUAACAGACUAGAUUCUUUGGGCUUGGACACUUUAAGUCACAAUAGGUCAGUGUUAGAAUAAUGCUGAUUACGAUCUAAUUUAAGAAAUCUCCUUUGACCCUUCACAUUCUAAUCAGGGGCCAUUGAGGGCGUAGUGGUACACUUGCACAACGUUUCUCCUUUGUAAUUCUUGUCAUAUUCAAAGUCACACACCAUCAUCUCAACAAAAUUAAAUGAACCGCACAUGUUUCUUCAAAUGAUUACAAAACUAGUGUUUUAUGUCAUGUAGCAGAUGCAGGCAACUUUCCAGAUAAGGAAAAAGUUUGUUAAUACCUCCCUGAAAAAAGAGGGACCUGGUCUUUGUGGCAAGCCAGACCAUGUAGCUGGAAUGUUGUUUAUUGGCAUUCAACAUCUUAAAAUAAAUUCAUUUCCCGAACCCUUUUCCCAGCCCACUGUGUCACGACCCCGACUCCAGGGACCAUUCCCAGGUUCUCCGCUGAAACAUGACCAUCAAUCAUAGUUUACACUUUGAAAGAAAGCAUCUCGGAUUGGCGGAACGCUGGCUAUAGUUGUAAGGUUUUCUGACCACUAGACCAGCCUCUACUGGGACAUUCAUCAACCUGCAAGGCAGUAAAACCACAGAGGGAAACUCACCAGGCAGACCUCCAAAACCAUUACAUGGUCAAAAUCAUUUUUUUGUUUCCCUGGGAAGGUCCCACCAGCCCUUACACACAAUGUUACAAUAGUUAUAAAUAUCAUUUGUUAACCCCUGUUUUAUAUUCAGACAUCUGCAUUUGGCUUCGGAUUACGUUCAACUGGUGACAACGUAGGAUGAGGUUAUAACAGGGGGAUAGGUUUAUCUCUGUGAUCUUUUAAUUAUUGUACACAAAAUACACAGAAAUCAUCUCCUCUAACGAUACUAAUACAGACUGUUUUGGCCCAUGGUCAUACUCCCUGCUUCCACGGAGACAAACAUCAGGACAAACACCAGGACACUUGUGUGUUAAGGUAAAACCGAGCAUGUCCUAUGGGUACGUCUGAUAGUUAAAGGUCUGCACCACAACGUGUCCCCACAUCAUCUUUAAAGCUGUCUUCAGGAUGGAGGGGUCUCUGUUCGCUUUGUCAUCAAGCUUUAUCUCUGCCAUAUCCAAAGCCCAGCUCUGGUAUGUGUCUUCUGCAAAAUCACAACCAGGGAAAAUGUGUUUAGUUUUCCUGCAACUUGUCAAAUUAUGACGUUCAUUUUUUUU